GGCCCUCAGCCCUUGGCCCAGCUGUUCUAGGCCUGCUUUCAGGGAUCCAGGAAGAAAGUGACCAACCCAUGCAAACUUAGGGCAAAACUAACCAUAUUUAACAGUAGAAAUGCCUGUUAACUAUACAAUACACAUGGAAUUAAUUGGAGCCUUGCGGAAUUUUGGAAAGAAUAACCAGCCUCAUCUAUAUCUCUACUUGGAGAAAUGGCUUCUUGGCCUGGGCUAAUGGUGUUACUUGACAAUCAGAAGGGGAAAAAGUCAUAACUUCACUCCCUUUUCCUCAGGCCAAAAUGCGAAUUUGAAACUCAUUCCGAAUGCCUUUCCAGGGAGGUGGCCACAGCUGAUGAAAGACCUCACGCUUGUUCCAACAGGCCCUGGGAGCUGAAUUGUAUCCCUGAAACUGGCCUAGCUUCCUUCAGCUCAACAGAGCAGCUGAAAGCAAUCCUCAGCAGCCACUGGGAGAAUCAUCCCUGGCAACCGAGAACAACAAUAGACAUCUAAACAGAGAGAGACUUCAGGAGUACAACUGACCCAGAGAAAUGAAAGAAAGGAGACACCUGCUCCAUUUUCCCUUAACAACAUUUACAGAACUUCUAGAGGCUGCCUGGGUGCCUUAGAUUGUGCCCUCUUCCUCCAUCUUCAAAGCCAGCAAUGACAGACUUUUGAGUUUGCCACAUCUGCGUCACAACUUAAUUCUUGAAAAGGCCGUAUAAAAUGCUGCUUCCUCAGGAUGCCUGCUCUUUAUCAGCAUCCCUGUCUCCAUGGUGAUAGCCUUCUUGCCGUAAUCAGAGGGAUGACCUACUUAACCAUGGAAAUAUUGGCUUCAUUCGAGUUAACUUUGCUGGUAAUAUGCACCCAGUGUUCCAUCUUCAUGACCCUGUUUCUAGCCUCUAUCCAAACAUCAGCUGUUCUGUUUGUGUGUGUAUGUGUGUGUGGGUUUCAUUUGCACUAUACUUCAAUAUAAAAAUUAUGUGAUCAUAA
Long non-coding RNA from Homo sapiens (human), 981 nucleotides. The record is from Ensembl. NCBI's taxonomy places the organism in Eukaryota, Metazoa, Chordata, Mammalia, Primates, Hominidae.